RNAcentral lists this ribosomal RNA (2111 nucleotides) under Escherichia coli. RNAcentral's name for it is "partial 23S ribosomal RNA". It matches the Rfam family "Bacterial large subunit ribosomal RNA", at positions 1 to 2136 of the family's 2925-position model. The record is from RNAcentral. Lineage: Bacteria; Pseudomonadati; Pseudomonadota; Gammaproteobacteria; Enterobacterales; Enterobacteriaceae.
GUUAAGCGACUAAGCGUACACGGUGGAUGCCCUGGCAGUCAGAGGCGAUGAAGGACGUGCUAAUCUGCGAUAAGCGUCGGUAAGGUGAUAUGAACCGUUAUAACCGGCGAUUUCCGAAUGGGGAAACCCAGUGUGUUUCGACACACUAUCAUUAACUGAAUCCAUAGGUUAAUGAGGCGAACCGGGGGAACUGAAACAUCUAAGUACCCCGAGGAAAAGAAAUCAACCGAGAUUCCCCCAGUAGCGGCGAGCGAACGGGGAGCAGCCCAGAGCCUGAAUCAGUGUGUGUGUUAGUGGAAGCGUCUGGAAAGGCGCGCGAUACAGGGUGACAGCCCCGUACACAAAAAUGCACAUGCUGUGAGCUCGAUGAGUAGGGCGGGACACGUGGUAUCCUGUCUGAAUAUGGGGGGACCAUCCUCCAAGGCUAAAUACUCCUGACUGACCGAUAGUGAACCAGUACCGUGAGGGAAAGGCGAAAAGAACCCCGGCGAGGGGAGUGAAAAAGAACCUGAAACCGUGUACGUACAAGCAGUGGGAGCACGCUUAGGCGUGUGACUGCGUACCUUUUGUAUAAUGGGUCAGCGACUUAUAUUCUGUAGCAAGGUUAACCGAAUAGGGGAGCCGAAGGGAAACCGAGUCUUAACUGGGCGUUAAGUUGCAGGGUAUAGACCCGAAACCCGGUGAUCUAGCCAUGGGCAGGUUGAAGGUUGGGUAACACUAACUGGAGGACCGAACCGACUAAUGUUGAAAAAUUAGCGGAUGACUUGUGGCUGGGGGUGAAAGGCCAAUCAAACCGGGAGAUAGCUGGUUCUCCCCGAAAGCUAUUUAGGUAGCGCCUCGUGAAUUCAUCUCCGGGGGUAGAGCACUGUUUCGGCAAGGGGGUCAUCCCGACUUACCAACCCGAUGCAAACUGCGAAUACCGGAGAAUGUUAUCACGGGAGACACACGGCGGGUGCUAACGUCCGUCGUGAAGAGGGAAACAACCCAGACCGCCAGCUAAGGUCCCAAAGUCAUGGUUAAGUGGGAAACGAUGUGGGAAGGCCCAGACAGCCAGGAUGUUGGCUUAGAAGCAGCCAUCAUUUAAAGAAAGCGUAAUAGCUCACUGGUCGAGUCGGCCUGCGCGGAAGAUGUAACGGGGCUAAACCAUGCACCGAAGCUGCGGCAGCGACGCUGAUGCGUUGUUGGGUAGGGGAGCGUUCUGUAAGCCUGCGAAGGUGUGCUGUGAGGCAUGCUGGAGGUAUCAGAAGUGCGAAUGCUGACAUAAGUAACGAUAAAGCGGGUGAAAAGCCCGCUCGCCGGAAGACCAAGGGUUCCUGUCCAACGUUAAUCGGGGCAGGGUGAGUCGACCCCUAAGGCGAGGCCGAAAGGCGUAGUCGAUGGGAAACAGGUUAAUAUUCCUGUACUUGGUGUUACUGCGAAGGGGGGACGGAGAAGGCUAUGUUGGCCGGGCGACGGUUGUCCCGGUUUAAGCGUGUAGGCUGGUUUUCCAGGCAAAUCCGGAAAAUCAAGGCUGAGGCGUGAUGACGAGGCACUACGGUGCUGAAGCAACAAAUGCCCUGCUUCCAGGAAAAGCCUCUAAGCAUCAGGUAACAUCAAAUCGUACCCCAAACCGACACAGGUGGUCAGGUAGAGAAUACCAAGGCGCUUGAGAGAACUCGGGUGAAGGAACUAGGCAAAAUGGUGCCGUAACUUCGGGAGAAGGCACGCUGAUAUGUAGGUGAAGUCCCUCGCGGAUGGAGCUGAAAUCAGUCGAAGAUACCAGCUGGCUGCAACUGUUUAUUAAAAACACAGCACUGUGCAAACACGAAAGUGGACGUAUACGGUGUGACGCCUGCCCGGUGCCGGAAGGUUAAUUGAUGGGGUUAGCCGCAAGGCGAAGCUCUUGAUCGAAGCCCCGGUAAACGGCGGCCGUAACUAUAACGGUCCUAAGGUAGCGAAAUUCCUUGUCGGGUAAGUUCCGACCUGCACGAAUGGCGUAAUGAUGGCCAGGCUGUCUCCACCCGAGACUCAGUGAAAUUGAACUCGCUGUGAAGAUGCAGUGUACCCGCGGCAAGACGGAAAGACCCCGUGAACCUUUACUAUAGCUUGACACUGAACAUUGAGCCUUGAUG